CACCGCGGUUACACGAGAAGCCCAAGUUGAUGAACAACGGCGUAAAGGGUGGUUAAGGGCUUUUAAAACUAGAGUCGAACUUUAUCAAGGCUGUUAUACGCAUACGAAAACAGAAGAUCAUCUACGAAAGUGACUCUAACUUUCCUGACACCACGAAAGCUAUGGAA
This 167-nucleotide ribosomal RNA is filed under the name Calotomus carolinus (Caroline's parrotfish). RNAcentral describes it as "partial 12S ribosomal RNA". The record is from RNAcentral. Lineage: Eukaryota; Metazoa; Chordata; Actinopteri; Labriformes; Labridae.